This is a non-coding RNA of Pan troglodytes (chimpanzee), 149 nucleotides long. It matches the Rfam family "Metazoan signal recognition particle RNA". Rfam says of the family: The signal recognition particle (SRP) is a universally conserved ribonucleoprotein. The record is from Rfam. Lineage: Eukaryota; Metazoa; Chordata; Mammalia; Primates; Hominidae.
GCCGGGUGUGGUGGCGGACGCCUGUAAUCCCAGCUGCUCAGGAGGCUGAGGCAGGAGAAUCGCUUGAACCCGGGAGGCGGAGGGUUGCAGUGAGCCAAUAUCUUGCCAUUGCACUCCAGCCUGGGCGACAGAGCGAGACUCUGUCUCAA